Molecule: long non-coding RNA, 2910 nt
Organism: Vicia villosa (hairy vetch)
Lineage: Eukaryota; Viridiplantae; Streptophyta; Magnoliopsida; Fabales; Fabaceae
Exons: 6
Source: RefSeq, a predicted model, not a curated record
AUAGUUCUCAGUCAAGAACCCCUCAUUUGACAAUUCAUAUUUCUUGUUCCAAACCCUAAAUUCAACUUCACCUCCUCAUCACCGAAUCAAACCCUAAAAUUAAAGGUCCUCACUCACAAGCACACCAUGGAUCUUCAUCUCUUCUCAUCUCUGGGUCGCAGCUUAGUUGAAGAUUUUGGAUUUUGGGUUUUUCACUCUCUUCCUCACUAAAUCCACCACAACAACACCUUCACCACAAAACACUCUUGUAGCAAAUCUUCUACCGUUAACAGUCCACUGUUUCACUAAAAACAUCUUCACUCGUGCAAAUAUCUCUACUCUAAUCGAUAACCGUCUUUCUAGAAGCAUCAACAAAUCCAAAUCUAAAGCUAUAGAAGACGAUAUUGUUGGUUCGAGUUUUGGUUUUGGUGAAAUGAGUGGUAAUGGAACGAUGGUUGGAGUGGUGGGUUUAGUGGGUAGAAGUAAAGUUUCGGUUUUUGAGAAAGGUGAAGUGAAGAAGAAGAAGAAGAAGAAGAAGAAGAAGAUGGUGAAAGGGUGUGAUUUGAGUAAAGGGUAUUGGGUUUUUGAUGAAAGGUAUCCUCUUUAUGGUGGAGCUUCUUAUCCUUUUGUUGAUGAAGGUUUUGAUUGUGAGGGGAAUGGAAGAUUGGAUAGAAAUUUUACUAAGUGGAGAUGGCAACCUCAAUAUUGUGACCUUCCAAGUGUUGGGUCGGUUCAUACAAGGUAAAGGACUAGCUUAAAUUGGGCCCCCUGCAUUGUUCUUCUGGAUUAGUCGGUCUCAAAGAGAGACUUUUUACUAUUAGGAGUAACAUAUGUGAAGUUAGUAGCAAAGGAUUAUCAAUGUACAAUUGAGUACUAUGUAAGUCAUUUUAGUUCAUGAAAGCAAGGCGAGAGUAGGGCAGAAAUGAAGAACGACGCUGCGAAUUGAUGUCAUUGAUUACGGUUCGUCAAGAUGGAGAGGAGCUGAUAUUUUGGGUUUCAACACAAUGGUAUCAUUACAAAACCAAAGCUGGGUUAGUACCUCUCUUAAAUUUCCCAAUUGAAGCCUUGUGCAGUGCUACCUCUCUCUCCUUGCCUUCCUGCAAAUCGCAUUUACCUAGCAGGAGGUCUUGCAGGAGGUCUUCAUGAGGAUGCUAAAGUGAUUGAGAAGCAUGCCGCACAACUCUAUACUCUAGUCGAAGAUUGUGACCAACCCGAUUAUGUCAAAUUGGUGAAAGCCCUUUGUGCAGAACAUAAUGUUAGUUUGCUGACAGUUCCAAGUGCAUUGACACUUGGAAAAUGGGAUGGUGCAAGUGCCCUUCACCCUUAACCUAGUUUUGGUUGAAGCAACAGCUCUACCAUAUCUAGAGAUUUGACCUGAUGAACUAAGUUUAGAUGAAAAGGCAGAGUUACUCUUUUUAGAUCAGGGGUAUGUAUGCCAAUUCAUUCGACACGACUAUUGUAAUUCUUGAAGUUGGUUAGAAAACCGUGAAAUAACUUGCACUUUUAUGAGUACUCUUCAUUUAGUCUAGUGUUUGGUUUACAACUGGCUUACACCUAAGGAAGUAGAAUUUCACAACCGUGAAAUGACUUGUUAGGAAUAUGUGAAGUUAACAACUAAGGAAGUAUUAACAAUUUAAUUAAUUUCUUUUUGCAGCUUGUUAGUUUAAUGUUUGGUUUACAACUGGCUUAUACCUAGAAGAAUUAGAAUUUGUUAUGUGCUGAUACUUAUUUCAAUUUGAUGGUAAAAACUUUGUUGCAAAUUUGAAGGAACCUUUUAAUCUUCAAAGGGGUUGGCUUUUGUGAGCUGGAGUUGGACUUGUUGGUGCUCUAGUUUCAAUUGGAUUGACAGGAGUUAAUGUGUCCUUUAGUUGAGAAACCCCACAAAGAGAGGCUCACUCACUAUUGGGUCUGACUUGGGAUAACUUUGUGUUGGUGCAUAUAUUCGGAAACUCAAAUUUAAACGGUUUUAAGAAGAAACGUCAAUGGAGAAGAGUGAAAUGACGCUGGACUUAGCCGCUUGGAGAUUUGCGAGGCACUUGGAUUUCACUGCCGGUCCGUCAUUUACAGCACCCCUUGCAAAAACUUCUGGUGAAGAGGUUAAUAAAAUUACUUUUUGUUUUUUCUUUUGAAUGUGUUGCAUUUAAUGAUAAUCAACUUUGAGAUGCUAAAGUGUAUGUAAAAGUGAUGUAUGUUUGGAGUUUUUUUAUAAGUUGAGAUUGUAUAAGAAACAUAAGGCUUUUACUGGAAGUUAGCUUUUAAUUGAAGACAAGGGUUCUUGUCUAUAAUUUGGUUUGAUAUGUGAAAACCAUGAUUCUUGGAGAUUUUUUAAAGGUAAGGAUGGUUGCAUAAGUGCUAGUGUUAAAGAUCAUUAGGGAUGAAAGUCUGAAUUUCCUUCCAAUUGUAAAUGAUUCAUUUCACUAAUACUUUAACCAUGUUUGUUGUAUCUGUAUGCGAUCUCAGCAUUAUUCUUGAGGUUGGUUAUAAUGAUCUAACUUGUGUGUGGGUAGAUAGUGAAAACAGUAAUGCUUGCACUUUUUGUAAAAAAAGACAGAUUUUACCACACGACCAUGGUAUAUCUAAACAUCUUGCAUGCUUAUUUGUGCUUUCCUUAACUAAUAGCUAAUUUUGAAACUAUAAAGUAUUGUGGGUGCUUUGUAUCUGGGAUUUAUUAUGAUGGUUGCAACUGUCUGAAACAAAAGUUACAGGAGGAAGUGUCUGAAACUAAAUUUACUGGAAAGCACAAUAAAGGAUGUCACUGCAAGAAAUCAGGUUGUUUUAAGAAGUAUUGUGAGUGUUACCAAGCCAAUAUCCUCUGCUCUGAAAAUUGUAAAUGCAUGGACUACAUGACACUCAAUGUGAAGAAUAUUUGUUUACUCACUAAAUUGGUACUUUUUUGUUAACUUGAUUCCACUGAUUGCUAUGUUAUUAUAU